Molecule: ribosomal RNA, 676 nt
Filed under: uncultured bacterium
Lineage: Bacteria
Description: bacterial SSU rRNA
Rfam family: Bacterial small subunit ribosomal RNA
Source: RNAcentral
GAGUUUGAUCCUGGCUCAGGAUGAACGCUAGCGACAGGCCUAACACAUGCAAGUCGAGGGGCAUCGGGGCGAGGAGCAAUCCUUGCCGCCGGCGACCGGCGCACGGGUGAGUAACGCGUAUGCGACCUGCCCGUUGCAGGGGGAUAAUCGGGAGAAAUCCCGUCUAAUACCGCGUAACGCCGCGGGGCUGCAUGGCCCUGCGACCAAAGGAAGCGAUUCCGGCAACGGAUGGGCAUGCGUGACAUUAGCUAGUUGGCGGGGCAACGGCCCACCAAGGCGACGAUGUCUAGGGGUUCUGAGAGGAAGGUCCCCCACACUGGUACUGAGACACGGACCAGACUCCUACGGGAGGCAGCAGUGAGGAAUAUUGGUCAAUGGGCGCGAGCCUGAACCAGCCAAGUCGCGUGAGGGAUGACGGCCCUACGGGUUGUAAACCUCUUUUGUCGGGGAGCAAAUUCCGCCACGUGUGGCGGAGUCGAGAGUACCCGAAGAAAAAGCAUCGGCUAACUCCGUGCCAGCAGCCGCGGUAAUACGGAGGAUGCGAGCGUUAUCCGGAUUUAUUGGGUUUAAAGGGUGCGUAGGCGGACUGUCAAGUCAGCGGUAAAAUACGGGGGCUCAACCUCCGCCCGCCGUUGAAACUGACGGUCUUGAGUGGGCGAGAAGUAUGCGGAAUGCG